AUGCAAGUCGAGCGGUAACAUUUCUAGCUUGCUAGAAGAUGACGAGCGGCGGACGGGUGAGUAAUACUUAGGAAUCUACCUAGUAGUGGGGGAUAGCACGGGGAAACUCGUAUUAAUACCGCAUACGACCUACGGGAGAAAGGGGGCAGUUUACUGCUCUCGCUAUUAGAUGAGCCUAAGUCGGAUUAGCUAGAUGGUGGGGUAAAGGCCUACCAUGGCAACGAUCUGUAGCUGGUCUGAGAGGAUGAUCAGCCACACCGGGACUGAGACACGGCCCGGACUCCUACGGGAGGCAGCAGUGGGGAAUAUUGGACAAUGGGGGAAACCCUGAUCCAGCCAUGCCGCGUGUGUGAAGAAGGCCUUUUGGUUGUAAAGCACUUUAAGCAGUGAAGAAGACUCCAUGGUUAAUACCCAUGGACGAUGACAUUAGCUGCAGAAUAAGCACCGGCUAACUCUGUGCCAGCAGCCGCGGUAAUACAGAGGGUGCAAGCGUUAAUCGGAAUUACUGGGCGUAAAGGGAGCGUAGGUGGCUCGAUAAGUCAGAUGUGAAAUCCCCGGGCUCAACCUGGGAACUGCAUCUGAUACUGUUGAGCUAGAGUAUGUGAGAGGAAGGUAGAAUUCCAGGUGUAGCGGUGAAAUGCGUAGAGAUCUGGAGGAAUACCGAUGGCGAAGGCAGCCUUCUGGCAUAAUACUGACACUGAGGCUCGAAAGCGUGGGUAGCAAACAGGAUUAGAUA
RNAcentral lists this ribosomal RNA (736 nucleotides) under uncultured Psychrobacter sp. RNAcentral describes it as "bacterial SSU rRNA". It matches the Rfam family "Bacterial small subunit ribosomal RNA", at positions 55 to 784 of the family's 1533-position model. The record is from RNAcentral. Lineage: Bacteria; Pseudomonadati; Pseudomonadota; Gammaproteobacteria; Moraxellales; Moraxellaceae.